This 492-nucleotide ribosomal RNA is filed under the name uncultured bacterium. RNAcentral describes it as "partial 16S ribosomal RNA". It matches the Rfam family "Bacterial small subunit ribosomal RNA", at positions 29 to 507 of the family's 1533-position model. The record is from RNAcentral.
AGUGAACGCUGGCGGUAGGCCUAACACAUGCAAGUCGAACGGCAGCACAGUAAGAGCUUGCUCUUACGGGUGGCGAGUGGCGGACGGGUGAGGAAUACAUCGGAAUCUACUUUUUCGUGGGGGAUAACGUAGGGAAACUUACGCUAAUACCGCAUACGACCUACGGGUGAAAGCAGGGGAUCUUCGGACCUUUCGCGAUUGAAUGAGCCGAUGUCGGAUUAGCUAGUUGGCGGGGUAAAGGCCCACCAAGGCGACGAUCCGUAGCUGGUCUGAGAGGAUGAUCAGCCACACUGGAACUGAGACACGGUCCAGACUCCUACGGGAGGCAGCAGUGGGGAAUAUUGGACAAUGGGCGCAAGCCUGAUCCAGCCAUACCGCGUGGGUGAAGAGGGCCUUCGGGUUGUAAAGCCCUUUUGUUGGGAAAGAAAAGCAGCAGGUUAAUACCCCGCUGUUCUGACGGUACCCAAAGAAUAAGCACCGGCUAACUUCGUG